UUGGCUCUCGCAUCGAUGAAGAACGCAGCGAAAUGCGAUAAGUAAUGUGAAUUGCAGAAUUCAGUGAAUCAUCGAAUCUUUGAACGCACCUUGCGCUCCUUGGUAUUCCGAGGAGCAUGCCUGUUUGAGUGUCAUUAAAUUCUCAACCCCUCCAGCUUUUGUUGCUGGUUGUGGCUUGGAUAUGGGAGUGUUUGCUGGUCUCAUUCGAGAUCAGCUCUCCUGAAAUGUAUUAGU
RNAcentral lists this ribosomal RNA (234 nucleotides) under Coprinus comatus. Its description in RNAcentral is "5.8S ribosomal RNA". The stretch from base 1 to 134 matches the Rfam family "5.8S ribosomal RNA", at positions 21 to 154 of the family's 154-position model. From Rfam's summary of the family: 5.8S ribosomal RNA (5.8S rRNA) is a component of the large subunit of the eukaryotic ribosome. It is transcribed by RNA polymerase I as part of the 45S precursor that also contains 18S and 28S rRNA. Functionally, it is thought that 5.8S rRNA may be involved in ribosome translocation. Lineage: Eukaryota; Fungi; Basidiomycota; Agaricomycetes; Agaricales; Agaricaceae. The record is from RNAcentral.